This 43270-nucleotide long non-coding RNA is filed under the name Oryza sativa (Asian cultivated rice). RNAcentral's name for it is "long non-coding RNA (OSAT_LNC001386)". The record is from RNAcentral. Lineage: Eukaryota; Viridiplantae; Streptophyta; Magnoliopsida; Poales; Poaceae.
CGCCGCCGGCGCACUGGUUGUGCUCGUACGGCUUGCAGCCGUGGCGGAUGACGCCGUGCAGCCUCGGGAGCGGGCCGCAGAGGCGGUUGUAGCUGAGGUCCAGCGUCUGCAGCGUGGAGAGCGCGGCGAGGGAGCGUGGCACGGUGCCCCUGAUGCGGUUGUGGCUGAGGUCCAGGUAGGUGAGCUCCGGCGGGAAGACGAGCUUGCUGAGGUCGAAGUCGAGGUCGUUCCACGAGAGGUCCACCUUGCCGAUGGGCCGGCCGGCGGCGAAGAGGAAGGAGGCGUCGCCGGUGAGGCGGUUGUGCGAGAGGUCGACGGUGUUGAUCUCGUCCUGCGCGUCGUCGCGCGGGAUCGGGCCGGUGAGCUGGUUGUAGGAGAGGAUCAGCGACCUGAACUGCCCCUGCACGAGCCCCGCCGGGAUGCAACCCGUCAGCUUGUUGCUGCGGAGGUCAAGCGACCGGAGGUUCGGGAGGUCGGAGAAGGAGUUCGGGAUGGGGCCGGUCAGGCUGUUGUGGGAGAGGUCGACGGAGUCGAGGCUGCGGAUCCGCGCGAGCGAGUCCGGGAUGACGCCGGAGACGUUGGUGUGGGAGAUGGUGAGGAACUGGAGGUUGGAGAGCGCGGUGAGGCACGCCGGGAUGGGGCCGGAGAGGCCCGGGAGGCGGAACAGCGACAGCGACAUGAGCGCCGUCAGCCCCGCCACGGCGGACGGGAUCUGGCCGCGGACGUCGUUGGCGCCGUCGAUGAAGACGUUGUUCACGCGCCCGGCCUCGUCGCACCGGACGUGGUCCCACUCGCAGCAGUCCGCCGACGCCAGGGACCACGUCGACAGCGUCGCCGGGUUUCCCAGCGACUGCUUCACUCUCAUCAGCGCCUGCUUGUCGCUCGGCGGGCAUCGCACCGCCCUCGCCGGCGCCGCCGCGACGGCCACCGCCAGCAAGACGGCGAGCAUGAAAGAGGCGGUGGACGCCAUUGUAUCUACCUGAACUAGGCUCGUGUGGCUGGAGCUGGCUUGAGUGUGUGUGAGUGAGUGCGGGAGUGAUGAGCUCUCGAGGGUGGUAUAAAAAGAGCCGCGCGUGGAGGCGUCAGGAUCAGUGUGCAUGCAUGAUGGGAUAAACGAUACAUUUUCCUCCCAUUUUUUUUCUCUCUCCCUCUCAUAUCCUUUUUUUGACCACCCAUCGAACCGGGACAUGCUUGGGCUCGGGGCCUCGGACACCGAGACGGCCAGCGGUGCGGUGGUACUACGAGCGGACACGAGAAGGAUUCGCGGUGAAUGAUGAGUGAAAACGAAUCAAUCCCUGACACCGCAACAUGCCAAACGCACACACACGCACAGGCACAGAGAUAGGUGGUGCCGUGGUGGUGAUAACCGGGAAGCAUCGCCGUGGGUUCGGCCACGGCCGGCGCGUGAUUGGUGCGUGCAUGAUUAGCAAUGGCAUGUGGGAUGGGAACGAACUGGGGCUUUCGCCCGCUCCGUGCUCCGGCCAGCGCCCACAUUGCUGGGUGCAGAAGCAGAAAGCAGAAGCCGCUCGCUCCGCCCGCCCGGCCGGCCGGGCGGCACGGCACGCACUCGUAUUAACUCGCGGACAUGUGCGCUCGGAUCUCCCGGAGCCUCAAGACGGGGGCGUCGCGUAGCUAAGCUAGCACCUGUUCUGGAUACGCUUGUCUCGGUUAUGAUCGGCAAAGGGCCGCAAAUGGACGGGAAGACAGCUCGUUUUCCGUGUAAGUCAACAUGAUAGGAGUACUAGCAAUGAGGAGGUUAUUUAAAUCCACAUGAAACAAUUAUACGCAGUUUGCAAAUUGCAGCCCCCUCUGAUUGAAUUCGCAUAUAAUGAGUAUCCCGCACUAAUUAUUUCGGAUGAGAAAAGGUCGAAGUGCAUGUUCUACUGUUCGAUUUCGUAGAGAUAUGCAUUGCAUUAUCGUGUCGCAGGGAUUAGAUCGAUCACAUAUAGCACAGGCCCACGAGAGACAAUCAAGGAGACGUCGUCACGUCGCUCGCACUGUCGCAGGCGGUGGUGCAUGCAUGAAUGCAAACUGAGUAGCUGACCAGGUCCAUCACUCCACCAGCCCGUGAAAAAACGUACUAGUAGCAGGAGGACGGACACAGCAGCAGCGAGAGCCACCGUCGCCGCGCCACGUACUCGCACAAGCCGCGGCCCACCACACCGCCACCCAUGCACGCGACGUCUCUGUCCGAUCCCCUGAACUGAAACGCUGUCACGCUGGAGCGCGCACAAGCCAAAGGUGCUCCCUGUCCGACUCGGCGCGCGCUUGCCCGUAUCACGUCUUCAGCGAGCGAGACGAGAGGAGGAGGCACGCAGCGGCGGCCAUGUGGGGGCUAAAUAAUGCGGCAUGGACGUGGUCCGACAGGGUUCAGGCCGGCACGAGAGCGCAUGUGGAGGCUUGGGCGGCGAGGGGAAAAGAAAGGAUUCUUUCGGCUUUCUGGGCUGGCUGCCCGGGCCGCUUGCAGCUUUGCGUUAAACCUCCCCCUUGUAGAAAAUGCAGUAGAGAUUUCGGAGGUUUGGAAUCUCAUUAUGAUGCUUUAGAACCAAGAAAUGACUCCCCUAUCAUGUUUCACAUAUUUAUGUAGAUCUAGUUUAUAUAGGAUUUAACAAAGAUAAUUCAAUCUUGCGUUGCAAUUUGCAGAGCUGCCUUGACGCUUGACGCUUUUGCUCUGUGCUCUGCGGUUCGGCCUGGCCGUCCAGCUACGCACCCACAUGCAUCGACCGAACUGGAGAUAGAUGUACCCCGCCUGGGCGCUGCUCUGUCCAGUCUCUGCCUCUGCUCGCACCGGGCACACCAGUUUCACCAGCGAGCGUGCGGUACGCCAGCACCACCAGACCAGAUAGCACCGUCGUCUCUGCGAUUUCUUUACGCGAAAAGCAGGGCGGGUUGGUUGGAUCGCGAAACCGAUCAGCCGAGGCGACGCCGCGACGGAGAGAUUGUGCCAGCGUCAAGUUGCAUGCCGACGUAACACACUUGAUUUUCUUUAGUACUGAGAUUUGUGCGAGGUACUAGUAGUAGUCGUAGCUUUGGCUCUCCAUGCGAUUCUUGGCUGCCAAAGCGGUGGCUGAUGCCUCCGUGGUUUGUUUUGGUGCGUCGUGGUGUUCAUCGCAGGAUCUCUCACGUGUUGACUGAAAAUUGUUGUAUUAGGUGUAGUCUCCAGGUUGCAGCUUUUUAACGACGGGGAAUUAUAAUCAGCCUAUAUGGGUGGUGUAUCCUUUUGAAUUUUAGUACGUACGAGCACAUCACACGACAAAUACUCUAUUACUGCUACAGUCACCAGCGCAAACAUUUCUUAACAGAGAUAUUAUUGUACUAUCGGCCAGCUAGCACUUGUAUACUUUUCAUUUUGGAUCGGUUCCGCCCUGAACGGCAUUCAUCUCUCUCUUUUUCUCAGUGUAUACUACAGACCGAGUGAAAAAUAGUUGCACCGUGCGCGUGGGACAGCUCGCAGUAAUUCUUCUUCAAAACUAGUACUGCUGUUCAUUCAUCAGAUGACAAAAUGACAACCAGCAACUAGCUGGCGGCCUGGCGCUGCAGCACUUGGUGGCACACCCAUCACGUGCCUGUAACGAGAAGAAAAAAAAACUUACUACUACCACAGUACUAUUCUCUCUAAAAAGAAUCCAAUUGGUGGCUAGGAUUGAGUUUUCUUAGACGAAGAGGUUAGCUGGCUGCUACUCCUUCCGUCCUAUAAUAUAAAGGAUUUUGAUAUUUUACUUGUACUGUUUGACUAUUCAUCUUAUUAAAAAAAAUUUAGAAUUAUUAUUUAUUUUUUGUGUGACUUACUUUAUUAUCUAAAGUACUAUAAGCAUAACUUUUUGUUUUUUAUAUUUACAUAAAUUUUUUAAAUAAGAUAAGUAAUUAAACAGUACAUGUAAAAUAUUAAAAUCUCUUGUAUUAGAGGACAGAGGGAGUAGUAGUUAUAGUACUCCACGCUCCACAGGCAACAACAGUGAAUACUCUCCCUCACGCAUGGAUAAGUUCAAUCGCUAACGUUCGUAGCCCUCUGCCCCCUCCCGUCCCUAGCUGCCCUACCCGGCCAGAAUAACCAGAUGACAGCCAAGCCGUGGAGGGCGAUCCGUCCUUUGCCCAGUUGCCCCCGUGCGAUCAUUACCUCCCCAGAUCCGAGCUGCUCCCACCCUCCCACCGUGUCACGAUCGAAGAACUGCAUGCACCAUGCAUCCGCGACCGCGACGGCGCGGCGGCACCGCAACCGGCCGCGGCCCAUGCAUAUCCCCCACGCGCGGUUUUGACGAGCCGCACGCAAGCCACGCGCACCGGCAGGUUGCCGGCUACCGACGAGCGCUCCCUCGCGGUCGCGGGCGGGCGGGGCGCGGUGUGCCGGUGUCGCGGCGGAGGCAUGGGCACUUGUCGCGGAUGGGAUGCGCAUGCGCGGAUCUGGGGAGACGCACAUGCCGCGGCGGGGAGAGGAGAGACGUGACGCGCGGUGCGGGUUUCUUGGGGGGCGGAAAUGAAUUGGGGGAGGACGUGGACGCUGCCCAAGAUCUGCGUAGCACGCCUGAAGUGCCGUUCCCAUCGGCGAAACGCGAAAUGAUCGUUCGUUUCUUCUCAUCGCCGCGUCAGCGCUUCGAUGAGAAAUACUUCUACAAUACUGGCAUGCUGCUGCUACGACUAACCUAGGCUCGAUUCGGCAAGGCUAUGUAGGAGAUGAUAUUUUGUGGUGGUAUGAACGAGCCACUCGCUCGGGUCACGGCACAUGAGGUGUAUGGUUGUUGGACUGCAGCUCUGCACGCAUCGAGGAGAGAAAAAAAAGGCUGAGAGCAUGUUCUUCGCUCAGAUAAACUAAUCUCUUUAUGUACGAGACUCGCUCUUAAAAAAGGGAUACGAUCCACAUGCGAACAGAAUAAGCAACGGGGAAUUAAUGAUCUAGCAUAAAAAGACCAAGUAAAGACGGGAAAUACAUGGGUGGGGUUUGACGUCGGGUCAAAGAUCGAUCAACCUGUCCGUGUACCACAUGUGCUAAAUCAGGGUUCCUUGUUUAUCACCCUGACGAAACAGGACACAAACCAAAAUGCACUAUAACUACGACUCAGAAAUCAGAAUCCUGCUCAGGGGAAAACGAAAGCGAAUGAUAAAGCUGGACGACGUGUCGACGUUUACGGGAACUUCAAAAGAGAGAGAGAUAGAGAACGCUAACUUUACAGAUCUGAACGAGAUAAUCCAAAGCGGCGAGAAAAAGAAAGCGAAAAAAAAAACAGAAGAGCCAAAUAAACAGACAAGCUGAAAAGGCUAAACCAGUACAGUACUCCAUUAGCGACACAGUAGAAGAUCGUAGAGCUCUGGACCGCUACCACACCAGAGCAGCUCUGUGCUGCUUCUCUUCUCCCCUCUCACACGGCCAUUGUCGACAGCGCAUUCAAGCUCUGCGUUUAUGACACCCAGGAUGUUUACUGCAUACAGUGGCACUUCAGAAUUCCUAUCCUUCAGAGGGAAAGUAGAGUGCAUUUACAGCCGACCUUAUCAUCAUCUCCUGAUAUAUGCAUCUGUACAUCUGCUGUAUUUGAUGUGUGGUCCAGGGUUGCCAAUGUUCAAUUUUCUUACAUGUGCCGUGUUUGAUCACCAAGAUGCCCAAGUCUCUGACCAAAAUGUAUUUUGAUAAAAAAAGAGGAGAAAUUUUCACCCUUUCUGCUAAAAGCUAGGCAGAAACUGGAUACACCUGCAAGUCCCAUACAGCCAUAACCUUCCAGGAGAUAGCGUCAAAAGACCAUACAGGCAUGUGCAAAACGUCCUACUAUUAUUGAAUUCCCAGAGCCAACAAAAUGAUUCAUUUAGAACGUAUGGGUGCUAAAUACAAAAAGAAGAUAUGGUUGAAUACACAUGAAUCAUGAUCUAUUUUACUAGCAUAUCAUAUCACUUCUUGCUAUAACAAAUUUAUAUGCCUAGUCUAGAAGCUACUUGAAUUGCUGGUCUGCUGGAUUAACCAUAGGCACCCUCUCAAUUCUUACAGGCUGAUCGACGCCGUCCACGGAAGGUUUGAUGUAAAGAUUGAACACAACGUUGGUGAAUAUCGUGAGGAUAACAAGUGCAAGUGUUGAGAAUGUUACAUACGUUGGAGAAAAUUCAGGAAGUUCAUCUUUUGAUCCCCGCCCAGUUAUCAUAUCUCGGUCCAUGUAAGGGUCUGUUUCAAGCAAAUCACAGUUAGAUCGGAGUCCAUCUCACUGUGAUGUUAACAUUGUUAAGAACAACUGAUCAAUAAACCAUGAUGCUGAUGCAACGUGGUAGCUCUCCUAAAGACAACUGGAUGGGUUUUCAGAGCAAUAGAGACUCAAGAUGCAAACAUUAUUACUGUGUUUCAAAGCUCUGUCUGCCACUUUUGGAUGGCUUCAUCCCCACUGAACUGUUGCUGUUGUCCUUAGGUUCUUCAUAAAUGACAAUAUGGCAUGUUGUGCUACUGCAUACAGAAGCAAUGAAGCAUUUGUCCAAGUCAUGGGUGAGGCCCCUAUAAACGUUGCAUACUUGCAUAAUGUCAGAGGUUUCAUUAAUUGAGUAGUUUCAGUACAGAGGACUGAUCCAUCUCCACCAAACACUUUAUAAAAAAUAUUUAUAUUUGUUGCUGAGAGAUCUGUCCUGCCGACCUUUUAAAGCUCUUGAUCUGAUCAUUGACAAAGUUAGUAUGAGUGAGCCUAGUAUGUUGCAUAAUGCAUUGAGGUCUCCACGAACAGUUUCAGCCGAUUGAAUGAUCCAUCUCUUCUAUUUUAAACAUAUAUUCCAUCUCCAAAUAUAUAGGUCAUUGCAGGAUAACUAUGGACAACAUCUUAAAACUUUGAUCAAUAGUAUAUGUAAAAGUAGAACACUAUACAUAUAAUUUUGACUACUUAAUCAAUCAUAAUCUCAUUAGAUUUUUUGGGUUAACGAGCUUGAGAAAACGAAGAUGCUUGCACGCACAAACUAGUGUAAGUUUACCACUAAAAGUUUUCAGUUGAUAUCAAUUACUGACCCUGAUGAACAUAGUGAAUUGUUGAUGAAAUGGACACAGCGCACAUGUAAACUGGAAAAGCAAUUUGCCAUGAGCCCAUGAGAGGAGGGACGAGGUAGGCAAAAGCCCAACGGGACGUACCCGGUGGAAGAGGCGGCGCCGGCGGCCGUUCCCUGGGCUCGGAAAGCCCCUCCAGCUGCGAGUCGAGCUCCGCCAGCCGCCGCAGCGCCUCCUCAGCCCGCGGCUCGCGCUCCUCCCCCGACCCCGGCCCCGGCCCCUUCUCCGACGACGAGAAGGCGACCACGUCGGAGCACCGCCUCCUCCCGCUUCCGCCCACUGCACGUGUGUUAUCGGCGAGGAAUCUCAAGCUCGCUCCGCCGACGGCGAUCGCCGGGAACGGGACGAAGCGGAGAUGCAUCCUCGCCGCCGCGCACAGCCGCGAUGUGGAUAACGUACUGAAGGAUUUCUUUUCGAUUUUAGCGAGAUAAUAACUGGGCUGGAUCUAAGCCCAAUAAGGCCCAUUAUUAUCUCACGAUGGGCUUAGCCCAAAAUGGGCCCAGUUUUAGCGGUCGGCGUGGGGGCCCAUAAGAUGGGAUCUCGUGUUCCCCACCGGCCACGGCCAUCAGAUUCGUCGUGUGUAGCGAAGCACUCGACGGAAUCCGGAAGCGAAGCGAGCGGAGAACGCCGACGAGCACACCACCGCCGCCGCCGCCGGCUCACGGUCUACCCACGCGCGUGGAAGCGGGGCGAUGGAGGCGUCGGGAUCCGAGCCGGGGCGGCCAUGGACGGUGUCCGCCACCUGGGCUCCGGCUGGCGGCGCGGCCGUGGAGGACGCCGUCUCGUUCGAGACGUCCGCCGACGACGCGGAGGCCGUCCCCUCCGCCGUCUUCCUUGAACGCCCUUCCCCUGAUGGCGACGGCGACGCUCCUCCCUGCGAGGUCACUGGUGAGUCGUCGUUUUUGACUUGGGGGGUAGCUUAGCUCUCUGGGCUUGUCAGAAUUUUGCGAGUUUGCCGCGGGAUCGCGGUGUUUGCGUUGGUCCGAUCGGAUGCAGGUGCACUCACUGUUGUGAAUUUUAGUUUUGCAGCAUCUAGUCUAGCUUAUGGUCGGAUAAACCCUAGUAGGCUGGUAGAACCAACCGAACCUAGUAGGCUGGUAGAAUCAACCGAAGUGGUUAUCGCUGUUCGAGUUCUAGUGCGUGAAUCAUUCAUAGUUAUCGUUAAAAUGUUCUAAUGCGUAGAGUCCAUGGAUUGGAGGUAUCUGUUUUAGAGAUCCUUUCGUAACUUGAGGAAUCGUUUCGACUUUCGACUAAUACCUUAAGAUAAAAAUUAUGACAGGUUAGUAUGUCAUAUAACGGAUUCAUUUGCUACUGUCUACUGGUUAUUGUUUGCGUGAUACUCUUAAACUUAAGCUUCUUAUGCUUCCAUGACCAGAGCAUUCUUAAUUGAUAACUGAUAGUUUGCGUUACUAUUUAGGAAAAUAUCUGGCUAAGUUUUUACUACUUUAGAUUUGAUUUUUCCAUCAGUGGUAAGCGGUAAGUGUAGAUACCUAGUCUUGUAGUGAAGCUGUUGCACUGUGAACAGUCCAAGCAUCAUCGAUCAUACUGAAGUCUCAAUGAUGUAUUUGUUCAAUUCCUUUGUACUGUCAAUUUGCAGAAAUUGGAGCUACCUGAUAUUAGGAAUUCAAACAAUUUAUUGAAUUGGUGGCAUUUCUUUUUGGAAGAUGAGGAUUGGGUGAUAUUACCACAGAAAGCUCUAAGCACUGUAUACUUGCAGAAAUUGUAGAGUUGCUAAUAUUAGGAAAGUAUCUGUACUAUAGUUUCGUCAUCCUCAUCAAACUACUACUAGUAUUUCUUUUAUGAAAGUAAAAGGAACUGGCAGUAUUCCAUUGAAAGUUGAAACCUUUACAUGGAAUUCUGUAUAAACUACAAAGCCCAUCGUGCCGAAUUUAGAGUCGAUUUUCUUUUCAUUGAUUCAUUGUAUAAAUUUCAAGUCAGUGUCUCACAUCUCAUAGCAUAUACAGCACAGUACCUAGCAUGAUGAAAAUCUAAGCUAUUUUUCCAUUUCAGUAUGCAUAUAUCUGAUUCACAGCUGUUCAUCAGUUCAUUUCAGGGGAAAGUAUGAGAUUCACAGGGUGUAUGUGCGAAGCACAGCUCGGAUUUAUGAAAUAUACUAUACAACUGACCCCAAGGAUAGCUCUAAGGAUUAUCUAUGCACUGUGCGUUGUGGACCUGCAGUUAAAGAGCCACUCCCCUCUGCUGAAGAAAGUAUGCCCCAAUGGAGUAGUGAUGCCUCAACUAGUGAAAAGCAUGAGCAUGAAACCAAAAGCGUAAGCAGUAGUAUUGAUGAAGAUAGCUGGGUUGAUGUCAAAAUCCCAGAGUUACAUGUGGAAAAGAACAGAUCUAAAUCUCAAGAACCUAAUGCAAUUGGAGUCAAACAGGAAACCACUCUGGUAAAGCCUUAUUUCUUGGUUUGUAUCAUGAAAGAUUGUUAAAUACUCAACCAUAAACUUCUGCUGGGAGUGCUCCUAUUGUGAUAUUAGCUUCUAAAAUUUUUCUGUAACUUUGUUUCGCUAUGUGGAAUGCAGGCACACUAUGAAGCAACUGCUGAGAUAACUGAUGCAAGCCCAUGUGUAUCUCUAACUGUUCGCCUCCUUUCACUUCAGUCAAAAACAUCAGUGCACAUCGAGGAGAUUUACAUAUUUGCUGAUCCUGUUGAGCCAACCAAUGAUGAAUCAGAAACACGUCCUGGAAACAUGGGAGGUAGUUCUUUGUUGGCUAUGCUUGUCCCUAGCCUCAUGCAAAUGUCCAAAUCAAGGAACCAGAAAACGGACAAUAAAUAUUUUUCUGAUGCCUCAAGGACUCAGCUUUCCCAAGGUUGUGCAAUGGCAGUGAAUAAUAGUCCAUGUGAAAAUGUAGUGCGAGAUGCAGAGCCGUGUAGCACAGAUGAUUUAAAUUUCAAGUCAGCAGGGAUGGAAAGCAAACUAAAUGCUAUAGAUGGCGAUACAAUAACUUAUGAAAAAGGCAACCAUUAUGAGCUAAAGGAUUCCAAGUCUAUUCUAUUGCCUAUACAAACAACAGAAAAUACACAAGCUCCUUUGACAAAGAACCAGAGUGUGUCAAAUACAGAUCAGCCUGUUACUCCUCUCAUGGAUGAAAAUCCAAAUCCUUACAGUCGCAUUGAGGGAAAGCUGGAUACUCUUCUCUCUAAGAUGGAGAAGAUGGAACUAUACUGCUCCAGGUUUGACGAUGGUAUGAUGAGGCCUAUCUGUAGCAUCGAGUCAAGGCUUCAGCGAUUGGAACAACAGUUUGAUGUGUUCUCUAUGGAGAUUAAGACUUUACAAGCUUCUUCUGCAAGAAUGACAGCCCCAGAUGGUUUAUCUGAUAUGAUUAAUCCACAGGAUAAAACAGAUAAUGAUGGUAAGGCUGAAAAUUCUGCUUCCACAACCAACAGGCAGCCAGGUCUGGUUGUCAGAGCACCAGAGUUUUCUUUAGAAGAAUCCUUCAGUUGCGAUAAGUCCAAUGAAAAUGCAGUUACCUUACGUGGACCGAGCAUGGUGCCAAGGCUUCUUGUUAAGGCUCCUGAUUUUGUUUCUGAAUCUGAGUUUGCUUGUGAGAAGCUUCAUGAUGGGUCUUUCUCACCAGUUGAUUUUGCUCUGUCUUCUGAGAAAGAACCUAAAACUUCCCCAGGUUUAGUUGUCAAGGUUCCAGAAUUUCCAAAUGAUUCAGAUGAUGAAUUGGAGGAAGAGAAAGAAACAGAAGUUGGUGAUCAUGAUGAUGGUCAUACAAAAUCUGAUGCUGCUUUGAGUGAAAGCACUGUUGACAGCUUCAAAAGCAAAUCUCAUGUAUCUGUCGAUGGUGCUCUAGCAUCAGCCUUGGAGGCACUUCUUGGUUCAACCAAGAAAACACCAUCUUCGCAAUCUGCUGCUUGCCCUGCCAGUAAUUCAACUGCUGAAAAUACUACUGAUUCUUCUACCUGCCCAUUUUCUUCUGAACAAGUUGAUGAGACAUCCACUAAUGAUGGCUCGGCUGGCCAAUUAUCUGGUACAUUCGUUGAUGCAAAUAAGGUCAAUACCUUCAUAUCUUGUGAGGAAGCAGAUGCAGUUCCACAAACUUAUAUCUCUAAGGCAAACUUGAAGGCUGAGGUAAACGAUCUGAAUAAUGUUCUCGAUUUGAACAUGAUGGCAUUUGCUGAAAGCACAGAACCCUUGUGUGUUCCACAGCUUCACACAGUUGAGGAAUCUAAAGAUGUUGGAAGCCAAGCAAAUCUAAAGAAUAAUGGCUCUAGUUCAUACAUGAUGCAAUCCAUUGCAAACACUGAGCACAUCAUCGCUCCUUCUCAGCUUCCUACUGUCUUGGAAUCUAUUAAUGAUGGACAACAGUUGAAUGGCAACAGAUCUACCUUGUCCUUGGCAGAGUUUCUUGUGGCAAGAAAUGCUAACUUUAGUAAGAAUGUGAUUUCUGAAGCAUUAUCUAGUAAUGGUGGUGCUGAAAUGCAUACCUUCAAGAGAACAUCGAUGGAAUCUGCUAAGAAUAUAAAGGAUAUCAAUCAACUUCUGCUGCAGAAAGCUCUAGAGGUUAAUGAGGAUGACAGUGCUAAGUUUUCUGUUUCUGGUGGGAUGAACUCUUGUUGUCUUAGAGCCUUUACUGAUUCCAAGAAAAGAUGCAUUGAGAGCAGCGGCUUGGAGGCAAGCCUCAAUGAUAGCUUUACAAAAUCAGAGGUAGAGCACUCCUUGUCAGAUUUGUGUAGUAUGGAAUCAUUUAGUGCAGAACCUGCUAGAGAAGCUGUCGGCUCAGGUGGUGUCACAGCUGGAAAUUGUGUUGAUGAUCCUUUUACAGGUAGUUCUACUGUAAACCCAACUGCAGGCGAAGAGCUGCAAAAGGUGUGUGACUUGCUUUACGAGUACAAUGAUGAUGUUUUAGGCAUGGCUUUCGUGGCAAAGAAAACAAGUAAGAGCAGCCCUUCUCUCGAAGUCCUACUUGCUGAAUCAUCUGAUUCGGAAGCGGAAAUUUCUGAUGCGAAGGACACUGACAAUGAUGCUGGCUUAAGUUCAGCUAGGUUGUUUAGUACAUUCUCGUCUUCAGAUGAUGAAGCUCCUCGCACUGAUGAACCUAUAAUUGAUGUAGUUGAUCUGCCAACACCAUUGGAUGCAUAUGCUUCUUCCAAGAACGAGCUGGUUGAUGAUGAGUCUUUGCUUGAUAUGGAUGAUCCGCCAAUUCCUCCAGAGUCGUAUGCUUCUGUCCUAAGCGACAUGCAUCAUGCAUGUCUAAAUGAUCAAUCAAAACCUUCAGGGACAUUCGCUGGAGAGGGCAAUGGAGAGUAUCCUGACAGCCUUAUAUAGGUUCAAUCAACAUUGUCCCACUUGUUAGAAAUAAGUCGAACAUACUCAAAAAGCCUCAGCUGCACUACUUUUUUUGUUGGUUUUACUGUACAUAUAUCAACGUUUGCUUCCACGCCCAUGCGGUUUUCUGUACAUAUAAGACUUACUGUGAGUAAACAAUUUACCUUUUGGUAUUACCUGUGUACACUUAUCACCUGUCCUUUCACAGUUUCACUGCUGGCCAUUCAACCUUAAGCAGUCAGCAAGUAAGCAUCACAAGAAAAGGCUGAAAAGCGCCCAGAUUUCCACUCUAUACAGUUACCAUCUUGUGACUUCGUCUUUUCACGUGGUUGACGAAUAUCCUGAACUACCAGAGACCGACUCAUCAUUCCAAACCAGGUAUGACUUAUUAUGAGGUAAAUUAUGUUCACCACCGUAGAGUUGGAUUGCCCGAUUUACUGCAACUGUUUCAUUCAUACCUUCUCUGAUCCACUGUAACUGCUAGGAAAUUUCUUUCUUUCUUUCUCUAAUCAUGCAACCAGGUAUGUCUAAUGUUCACCGUAGAGUUGGAUUGCACGAUUUACUCGAUUGUUUCAUACCUUCUCUGAUCCUUGUGAUCCACUGUAACUGUUAGGAUCUUUCUUUCUUUUUUUCCCCUCUAAUCAUGCAUUCAUGCAGCCACUUAUUUCUAGCAGGUCAGUUUCUGGAACACGCCAUGUUACGUGAUGAAACACAAGAACAGGGCUACAUAAUGUACACAUGUGAGCUUGCUUGGCGCCCCAGCGGUCUGCACCACAUGGACUAAUCCUUAAUUCCUCAUGCCAUGGGCCAGGUGAAAUCGUCGUCCCACACGGUACAGCUACAGCAUUAACACUGCAGCCGGCCAGCCUUCGCCAUGGCGUCCAAGUUCAAGGAAAGCAUGGAUUCGUAUCAAUUUGCGGCUCAACUGAAAAGGCGCGGACGUACAGAAAUUUCAGGUAUGGUCGGAUCCAAACUUAUUAGGAUUGGUCGCUUUCUUAUUGGAUGAUACUGUGCGAGAUUUUCCCACAAGAAUCUGUGCGUAUACGGACUUUGGAAUAGAGUCAAUGCACCGCGAUCACACCAUCACUUGUCUAGGAGCACUUUCACUGUGUGACCAUAUCCAAUCUAAACAGAAAUAUAGCCACAAGAAAAUGUAGGGGGGUGCUGUUUGUCGGAAAACACCCUUAUCAAAAACAUUGGUAUUAUCAAACUUUGGUACGAUAACAAAUUGAACAAUGAAACAGCUCCAACUAUCAUAGCGCUACCAAAAUUUGAUAAUUUUUGGAACCUUACACUAAAUCUGGUAAGACCUCAAACCAAACAUCACCAUCCCUAUCGUUACCUUACCAAGUAAAGCAAAACUUGUUAAGAUUAUUUUGGCAUUUCUGCCCUUUCGUCCGUCGCUCUUCUCAUGCGGCAUAUUCGACUCUUAAUUACUCGGCCCAGACCCAACGCUGGCCUUACAAAUCUCUCGUUUAUCAACCAUCAUCAAUAACCUUAUCAAAUUUGGAUAAUUAUAGAACUUUGCAUUCUACAUCAAAAUCUGAUAAGGCCUCGAACCAGAUGUCACCAUCACAUCUUUAACAUAUUAAAAUUUGGUAAGGUUUAUUUUUAUUACAAACCAAACAUGCGCAUAAAUCUCAUCACUCUCUUCACUGUGCCCAAUUUAAACGGAAUAUUUUAGUAAGAAGAAACAUCUUAAUCUUACCGCACAAUGGAAUCUGAAUACGGCUUCAGUUUAACUAAGUUAUCUGAAUACGGCUUCAGUUUAACUAAGUUAAAAAAAAACUCGAAUACUCCAUAUUAAAAACUGCUAUAAAAAUCCAGAGAUCAGUUUUUUUUUUAAAAAAGCAGAGAUGCAGAUGAUGGGAUAAUCCAACUGUCGACUGGAUUGCAAAUGGCACUUUCAGAUAUACUGGUACCAUAAUAGUACUGUUUAAUAACUGCAGUUCCUCUCGAAGUCUCACCUUUGUUAGUGUGAGAGCGAGCUGAUGUGACAUUUGACAAACAACUCAAUCCUCAAUUCAGGCACUUUGUCCUCGAUGUGUUAUUUACAGCUACGCAGUAAACUCGUCAGGACAAUAUGAAAGAUCAACACACGUUCUAAUGCUCAAACUCAAUUAUUCAAAGUGAAACCGCCAAACCGGUGGGUCACAUGCCGGAAUCAAGGCGGUAGGGUUCAGUACUCUAUGCUCAAGUCCUCUUCCUAAAUGGUGCAUUCAUGUCCUUUUGUCAAAAUAUUGUUAAGCACUUAUGAAGCCAUAAAAGAAGCAGGACAAGGUGCCGGACUGCAGAGAAACUUCACUCGUACUCCUACAUAGAAUGAAGUGAAGGAAGCCACUGAAAUGGUGGUCAAGCAAUUACACAAAACAGGUAGCUCCAUAUCUUGUUCAUAUUGACAUACACAAUCCUUGAUGAUGACAAAAAACAAAUUACAGGCAGCUCUUGUCCCCCUCACCAUAAGCUAUAAGGGGCAGAGCACCAUCCAACUUAUGCUAUUUACUUGUUCUGUCUGUCCCUCCCAACUUUGCAAUACCCUUAUCAAGCACAAGAAAGUAAAGAGAACAAGAAAAAAAGAAAAAAAAGAGAGGAUAUGAUGACAGUACAUCAUACAUGUGGAUACAACACUAAAACGAGAGUUCCACACAGCAACCACAUCACAGCACUGAUCCCUGCGUGUGAAGCGAAGCGGUGAACGAUCAGCCGCCGGCGCCGGCGACGACGACGACGGCGACGGCGGCGAGCAAAGCAGAGAGGAGGAGGAGGAGGGGAAGAGGGUGGCGCGGUCGCUCAGAAGAAGGAGCGCUUGGAUGGCGCCCUCCCCACGGCCCUCAUGAAGUUGGCGAGCUCCAGCACGCGCGCCACCUUGGUGCCCCUCUUCGCCUCCGCCGACGCCCGCUUCUCCUCCGCCUUCCGCCGCGCCUUCGCCACCUCGUUCUGCGCCUUCUCCAUCGCCUUGGCCCUCUUCUCCUCCAGCUUCCUCUGCAACACACCCCCAAUUCCAUCAGAAUCCAGAGCUCGAUUGGUAGAAAUCAAUGGCGAUUAGAUGAUGGAUUUCGUUUUGGUUUCUUGUUUUACCUCGUACUUCUUGAGCCAGGCGUUGGCCUUCUCGACCUGGUCGCCCUCCCAGCCAUUGAUGACGACCUCCUCGCGCUUGAAGCGGUUGUUGACCUUGGCGACCUCGGCGAUCUGCCACGCGGCGAUCUUGGACUCCACCUCCUCCUUCUUCACCUGCCCCACCGACACCUCGUCGCCGUGGCCGCCGCCCGCCGACGACACGUCGCCGGGGGCGGGGAGCGCGAGGUGGGCGCGGCGAGGGGACGGGAUGGGGUUGCUGUCCGGGACGAUGGCGAGCGGGUUCGUCUCCUCGAGCUCAUCCUCCCCGAUCCUCCCCAGCGCGUCGUCCACCCCGGCGCGGCUGGAGUCGCCGCCGUUCGCGGCUGCGGCGGCGGCGGCGUUGGCGUUGGCUGCUGCGGCGACCAUGGCCGAGAACUCCCUGCUCAUAGUAGGGAAGAGCUCACUUGGGGCGGUGUCGCUCCCCACGGAGCGGAUCGACGUGUGCCUGCUCCCCGCCGCGGACUCCCACGACUCCCUCCUCCGCCGGUGGUACGACGACGACGGCUGGCUCGGCGUCGGCGUCGGCGGCGGGCUCAGCGCGUGGAUGUCCCUGAACUCCGGCUCCUCGAGCUCCUCCUCCACCACCACCUCCUCCUCCCUCUCCUCACCCCCGCUGCUUCUGACGACGAUCUCCCGGCCGGUGCUGAUGACAAUCUCCCGGUCGUCGGCGCCGCGGCUGCUGCUGCUGCUACCACUAGCCGCCGUUUGUUCACUCAACAUGUGUCGCCGCCGUGGGUGAGGUCGUCGUCGCCGUCGCCGCCGCCGCCGCCGCUAGUGCUCAGCCACUAGCACACACGCGUAACCAUCGGCGUCUUGCUCUUCUUCCUCCUCUUCGCUUCUCCGAGCUGAGCUGUGGUGGUGAGUGGUGAGUAGGAUCGGAUGCCUAGCUUGGUUAAAUAGGCGGGAGAAGAGGGGGAGGUGGGCCCGGGCGUGUCAGUGUCGCUGAGCCAGUGCCCGCCAUUGGAGGGGCAGUUUGGGUAUUUCCGUUUCGAUCCCCAUUUCGUGUGCCUUUUGGGCGGCUUCGUCUCGCUUUCUGAUUUUGGAGGGGUCUGUGUGUGUGUGUUUAUUUUUGGGGGGUAAGGUUUAGAGGUUAGAGUGUGCAAAGUGCGCUGACUCACACAAUCAUAUAGUUUUAACAUUAACAAGCGCCGUAUGAUUAUUUUUUCCCUUUGAUUAGUAGUACAGGUUUGGAUUGGAUACGUCACCCAUUUUUUAGGGCAAAGAGCGUGAAGGUUCUAGCCUUCUCUCUUCCUACAUGUUUAGUUACGUACUUCCACUGUACGAUCAUGCGUCGCCGUAAAAUAUUUUAAAAUGGAUCGAUAAAUAUUACUCACUCCGUCCCAAUAAAAAUCAGGAAAUCAAUCUAUGUUGAUUUUUAUUAGGACGCUAAGUUACUUUUUAUCGAGACGGAGGGAUUAGUUGUUUUUUAAUGGACUAGAUUGAUGUUCUAAAUAGAUUAAUUAAUAUAAUACUCCAUUUAGGGGCGGGACAUACGAUAGAUUAUCUAAUUUUGUGAUGAUAAUCGACUAUACAAACGAAUGAAUUAAUUGUGAAAAAAUAGAUAAGUUGUUCUAAAAUAUUAUUCUAAACAGUUUAUAUAUAGAAAGUUUUUAAAAUACCAUGUUUCUAAACUUGUAAAACGUGUCUACGAUAAUCUAUAAUUUAUUGAGGAAAAGAACCAGCCUCAAACCAAUUGCUACAUGCUAUAGUGGUUUGGGUCAGGCGGUGAUGAGGACAUCCUCCACUAUUAUCCGCUGGCAGAGACGCUAAAGUCGGGCGGCGACCGUGUGAGCCUCUGAAUAAUCCCACCUUGCUUAGCUAAUCCCACCUUACUUAGCUUAGAAGGAGGAAGCCACCUUAAAAAGGAGAGCCACCCUUCCCCUACCGGACUAGUCUUUUAGGGAGAUUGGGCCUUUCCCUGAGUGGGUGUGCUAAAGAACUGUUGGGGUCCGGACAACCUUAAGUUAUUGGGCCUCGGCCGACCCCACCUGGGCCGGAUUGUUAUCAGGCGGCCGCAAUGACCUUACACAAAAUAUAUGGUUAAAUGAAUAUAACAUCAUUGGCUUCGACAUAAAUGGUACUCCGUUUCAGGUCAUAAGAUGUCUCCGUUUCAGGUUAUAAGAUGUUUUGACUUUAGUUAAAAUUAAAUUGCUCUAAGUUUGGCUAAGUUUAUAAAAAAUAAUAUUUUUUACAAAGAUAAAUUUAUUAUAAAAAUAUAUUUAAUUAUUAAUUUAAUAAAACUAAUUUGGUAAUAUAAAUAUUACUAUAUUUACCUAUAAGGGCCCCUUUGAAUCGCAGGGUAGAAAAAACGGAGGAAUAGAAAAAACGCAGGAUUCUGAUAGGAAUUGAAGUGUAAAACAGAGGAUUGCAAAACACAGGAAAAACACAGGAAUGGUCGUUUGAUUGGAGCGCAGGAAAAACGCAGGAAUCGGAUGAGAAAGAUAGACUCAAAGGAAAUUUUCCAAGAGGUUGGAGCUCUUGCUAAAUUUUCUUCAAAAUCCACAUGCAAUGUGCCAUUCCAUAGGAAUUUCAUAGGAUUUGGAAAGUUUCAAUCCUUUGAAUCAAAGGGCCAAAUAGAAAAAUUUCCUAUAGGAUUUGAAUCCUAUGAAAUUCCUACAUAAAUCCUUUAAUUCAAAGGGGCCCUAAACCUAGUUAAACUUAAAGCUGUUUAACUUUGAUUAAAAUUAAAACAUCUUAUAACCUGAAAGCCACGGAGUACUACUCAUAUGAUGUCAGCGACUCAGCGUAUCAAAUAUACACAUAUAUACCCACCCCUACCGAACGAACUACAAGUCGGUAUAACCGGCGAACCUUCGAGUGAUUCUGCCGCCGCAUGCAAACGAAGGGCCUGUUUAGAUGGGAUUAAAACUUUUAAGUCCCUAUCACAUCGGAUGUUUGAAUAUUAAUUAUAAAUAUUAAACGUAUACUAUUAAUAAAACCCAUCCAUAAUCUUGGACUAAUUCGCGAGACGAAUCUAUUGAGCCUAACUAAUCUAUGAUUAGCCUAUAUGAUGCUACAGUAAACAUUCUCUAAUUAUGGAUUAAUUAGGCUUAAAAAAUUUGUCUCGUGAAUUAGCUUUCAUUUAUAUAAUUAGUUUUGUAAGUAGUCUAUAUUUAAUACUCUAAAUUAGUGUAUAAAGACAGGGACUAAAGUUAAAUCUCUGGAUCCAAACACCACCGAAGUCUCGUGCACUCCUGUCCCGAGAGAGUUCAGUCAAACGCAUUCCCAGCGGAUAAAAUAAAUGAAGAUUUGGUGAUUAGGCCGUGUCAACUUCACCCCCCCCCCCCACCCCCACCAAAAAAAAAGAAGAUUUACGAUUCAAAUGUCAUCACCGAAUUGUUUACUGGUUACUUCGCGAGCAGGGAGGCGGUGAGUUACCUACGUAGUACGUGUGUGCUGGUUUAGAGCAACGUUGACAGCGACGUUUUAUUAAUUCUUACACACACGUAAGAGGUACUACUACCACGUCUCAUAAUAAUUCUUACACUGUUUGACCACUCGUUUUAUUUAAGAAAAUUUAGAAUUAUUAUUUAUUAUUUAUUGACUUACUUUAUUAUCCAAAGUAUUUUAAGCAUAAUUUUUUAUUUUUUUAUAUUUGCAUAAAUGUUUUUGAAUAAGAUAAGUGAUCAAACAGUGCAAACAAAAACUCAAAAUUUCUCAUAUUACUCCAAUUUAACAGAAGGAGUAGUAAUUAUCAUCGUUUGCAUGGAGGCGAUGGGUAAUCAAAAGACGUGGUCGGCCGCGGUUAACCCCGUCUCGCUGUCACGGAGUUAAAGCGGGUGUGUGUUAGCGAAAGGGGGUUAGGAUUAUUUUGAGGCCGUUGCGAAUUAGCGGCGGAGCCGUGUGGGGCCCAGCCCGCUUGCAUUAUCCUACUACUCUAUUAUACACCGGGUUAGGCGCAGACAAGGUGGGCCCGGGGGUGUCUCCGCGGGUGGGCCCCACGGGUGGAGAUCGACGGCGGAGAUGCGUUUGGUGUGGUGCCUGUCAGAGAUCAGAACGAACAAACCCGUCAGGUGAGGCGUUGGCCGUUGGCCCGACUAGAUAGAUAGGGGGUGUGCCACUAUGGGGGUGUUUGGGAGAGAGGGGCUAAACUUUAGCCCCUCUCUCAAAACCAUAAGUCUCUAGGAGAGGGACUUAUGGUUUUGAGAGAGGGGCUAAAGUUUAGCCCCUCUCUCCCAAACACCCCCUAUAUCUACCAGUAUGCCGGUAUGGUCGUCUACUCGUCUCAUGUUUCAUGCUGCGAGCCUGCAAAAAUAGUAGUGGCCUUUUUUACUAGCACGUUUCUACAUCGACGACACACCACGUGGCCAUGCCUGCAACAGUGCUUAGAUGGAGAUUAGCCAUGAUCAUUGUUACUAUGGUGUUCAAGUGAAUAGGGGCAGGGGUGAAAACGAGAGGGGGAAACACCGGAGCAAGUUACCGAAUGUUACUAGUUACUACUUACUAUUUCCUCCGUUUCACAAUGUAAGUCAUUCUAGCAUUUCUCACAUUCGUAUUGAUGUUAAUGAAUCUAGACACGAAUGUGAAAAAUACUAGAAUGACUUACAUUGUGAAACGGAGGGAGUACUCGUGUAUUACUUUCGUCCACAAAUAUUUUUUUAGCUACAUACAUUCACAAAGUAACGAGAGCUACAUUAGGUUUCAUGUGGUGAAACCUAUUCAUCUAAGUUAAAGUUCUAAAUUUAAUAUAGACAAGAAAAAACUACCCAUACGUUACAAUAAGUGAAGGCUAUUUUAAUAUAUUAUUGUUAGAAUUUUUGUCUAAAAAAUAUAUGGGAUUUUUAUUUUGAUAGUAUUGAUAUCUAAUUUGGAACCCUUAUUAAGAUGAUGGUCAUAUCAUGUACGCCUGACGAGAAUUCUAAAGCAAUUAAGAAUCAGACUCCCAUCCUAGGUUUGCAUGUGAGUUUUUUUAAAAAAGAUUUCUUAUAUGACUCCUUAUAUAUUUUCAAAAGCGAACAAACUUAGAAACCAAGUCAAAUACGAAUAACAUGCUAAAGUAUCAGCGAAAAUAUUUUUAAUUUUUAUAAUAAUGGAGAAGAGAUAGAGAUACCAAUACCGAAAGAGAAAAUGAGGGGAAAAGAGAAGAGAUUGAAAGAAGAGGGAGAGAAUUAGGAUUAUCGGGAAAAAGAAAAAGAGAAAAGAGUAAAAAAAAAGACAGUCAAGGGAAGAGCACAUGACUUCGAGUGGAUGCACGCGGGAUGGUACGGGUCGAUUGGGUUGUGUUGGGCUAGGAGAGGGAUGGGUGGGAUUAGGCUGGGGAGGAGGUGUACAGUACUCCAUCCAUCUACUUUUGAUAGGUAUAUUUCCAAAUCUGAAAAAUUUACUUUUGAAAUGCAUAUUUUAAUCCAACCACCUAUCAUCUUAAUGACUUUCUCGGAUUUAAUGCGUGACUUUCCAUUCUUUCACAUAAGACUGGUUACAUGGGCAUCAAGAAAUAUAAAUAUUAAUGAAUCGAUUGUUUACGAUGAAUAACUAGUAACAUGUUUAAAUGGAUGAUAAGUAGAAUUACUUAUCCUUGGUCAUUGUGUGAAAUAUGACUAUAAAAAGUAGAUGGAUGGAGUAGUUAUUUUAGGCUCGAGCUGAACUGGAUGCGGACGACGUACAACCUAGACACCGAUAACGAAAUAAAAUUCCGACAAAAACAUCUUCAAAUUUUAUAAUAGUAGAUAUAUGAUAUGCUCUCAUUUACACAUAAACUUUUAAGUAAUUUUAAGUUUAGAUAACAUAUCUGUUAAUAUCUGUUAACAGUGAGGUGUUUAUGGUAAUUUCGUCAAAUUUAAAAUAUAUCCAUUUAGUUUCUUACAAGUGCUAAUAAUGUGUCCCUGUAUUCACAGGGGAUUAGUAUGCACACAUGUAUAUGAAUUUGAAUAUCUAUUGUAUUGUGCUUGUAUGAGAAAAAGACGCAUGGUCGUGUCGCUUGUAUGAGUAUACGUCUUUUACCCUUUCCACGCGCGGAGCUUCGCUAGCUGUAUUCCGGCUGUACAACGUUGGACGCACGGCCAGGGGAAGAAGAGUGUAGAACACGCGGUGCAUGCGAUGCGAUGCGAUGAGCUCACUCGAACCGCGACCGAUCGAAACGACCGCGCGCAUGACGAUGACGUGCACGCACGUAGCAAUCAGUCAAACACAGCCACCAAAAAAAAUCACAGCAUAAUCCAAAAUUCGUCUUGCUUAAUUUAUGCCUCUACUUUGCAUUACUUUACAGCCUGUGAAAGUGAGAACGAAUGUUUUUGUCACCUGCAUGCCGCUGAUAUUUGACGCGGCCAAAACACACCCGUCUGCCAAAAUAAAACCACACGUUUUUCCCUCUACGAAAUACUACAACCGUCCAAAAAUACUCAACUUAAAAGAGGAUGUAACCUCUUCUGAUACAAUGUAUUUAGACAAAAAGCUAUCCAGAUUCAUUAUACUAAGAGCAAGUUUAAUAGUAUAGCCAACUAAUAGCUCCAAUUUAUCUAUAGCUAAUCUAGUAGCUCAUUUAUACAAUAGUUACGUACUACACUAUUAAUACCUGGUCUCACCUGUCAUACACAUAUUGCGUCUCGAAGUCCGUGCUAUAGCUGGCUACAAAUGUAUAGCCCGCUGCUCUUCUCUCUCCUUAUUUAUCUUAUUAAAAUAUGUUUGCAGCUGGUUUAUAAUCUGCUAUUGUACCUGCUUAAAAGACGUGGUUGAGUUUUUUUAAGAACGAAAAGAGUACUAAUCAGGAAAUUUGAAUUUGGUUGUGACAAGAAAAGGAUCUUGUUAUCAAGGGUAGACGUCAUGAGAUUGAGAAGGAUCACGACAUGUAAACUCCAUGUCAGUGACUCGGUCGCAAUUUCGCAGUGCUUAGGUGGUCUUUGAAUUUAGGGAUUUAACUUUAGUUUUUUAUUUAGACACUAAUUUAGAGUAUUAAAUAUAGACUAUUUAGAGAACUAAUUACAUAAAUGAAAGCUAAUUUGGGAGACAAAUUUUUUAAGUCUAAUUAAUUCAUAAUUAGAGAAUGUUUUACUGUAGCAUUAUAUUCUAAUCAUGGAUUAAUUAGGCUUAAUAGAUUCGUCUCGCGAAUUAGUCCAAAAUUAUGGAUGGGUUUUAUUAAUAGUCUAUGUUAAUAUUUAUAAUUAGUGUCCAAACAUUUGAUGUGAUAGGAACUUAAAAGUUUAUAGUCCCAUCUAAACAGGGUUAGACUAUAGAUUUUGCAGGGGGCCAGUGCUGGAUACAACGGAGGAAACAAACAAAGGGAAGAGAUGGCAGGAGGUAGUAGUAGCAAGGAUCCUCUGUAACAACCAUAUCUACAACGAUCGUUGCAGAUUCGACUAUAAUUUGACUGGCCCCAGCAGGCAAUGGAUGCUCCGAGUGGAGGAGCAGGGAGUUGCAAUCAUGACUAAGAGAAAGCUAAUAGGAUUUGUCAAGUUUGAAGAUUUUCGAAAGAGAUGUCAAGUAUAUAUGAAAGGCAAUACUGCAAAAAUCUAAAAAUGUGCCAAAUUAAGGUGGUACAUUCUCUCAUACAAUUUAUGCAAUAUCUGAUCAAAUAAAGCUCGAACUCUAAGUAGCCGAUGUAUUAGAAGAUUGGAACCCUUGAUGGAUUUCCCUUUCGAUAUAAUUUGGUUAACAGAAUUUAGGUCGAAUGUCCAUAAUCUCCUAACCUUAGAGCAUCUGUAGUGUGAACAAAAAAUCGAUUUUACGACAGGAGAACCAAAUCAUGCACAUUGUAGCUGUCGAACCGUAGGUGUCAAACAACAAAUCGAACUCCACAUUGGAGUCGAACUGAAAGAGUAAAUUAAUAUACUGUGCAUGCAUGCAGGUACGGUUCCAGUGAUUGGCUCAUUCCCUUUUUACAGAUCCCACAAAACAAUUUUAACAUUAUAGCUAUCAAACUGAAAUUUUGUUUGGCUCUUCUAUUAGAUUGAUCAAACCAAACACUACAGAUGCCCCCAGUGCCUUUGCCAACUGUUAGAUAAGUGUAGAAUUUUGCUUUCACUUUUGAAAUGGAAGUACACUAAUAUAUUUGGGAAAUACAAAGCAUAACUUUUAAAAAGGCCAAAUGCGUUUUACACUAAACUUAGCUGGUGCUCUGCUCCGCUCACAGAAGGUGGGUACGCAGAAGAUCAUUGCGGCAGGGAAGUAGUAGUAGGUCAUGGUCAACCUUAACCAUACCCUACCAUGACAGCAGCAGCCCAGGCCCAUCAAUCGCCCACAGCCCCUGCAGGCCCGGGCCCACUCGAGCAGAGGGGCACUGUGAAAAAGGCCCAGUCGGCCCCACCACGUCAUGGGGCGCCAUGCACGCACCGGUCAGACGACGCGGUUGUCGGCCUGGCCGGGGUGCCCAGCCACGUGGGCAGCCCGCGCGCUACCGACAGCGGCCGUGACCCGCGGGGCCCGGCGGCGCGCGCUCUCGCGCGCGCGCGACGUCGUCGAGACCGCGACGCCGACCGAUGGCGAGCGCGCCCGCGCCCCCGCCCCGCGCGCGCGCCGCGCCAGCCACCAUGCGACGACGUCGUACACGCACAGCGCGCCGCGGGCGCGAGCGCGCGCGCUCUGCAGCGUCGCCGCCGCCGAACGCCAUGCCGAUCGAUGCCGCCGGGCGCGCACGCGCGCGCGCGUCACCAUUGUGAUCAUGGCGCGCGCGACGUGACGGCGACACAAGCCAAUCCAUCGCUAGCGACUCGCUUAGUACUAUUAAUUACUCCACUAACUAGCGGCAUGUACAAGAAGCGGUAGGAGAAAUAUCGUGUUUCUGUCUAAUCUUUUCUGUGGUUGUACGCUUGUUUAAUCCUCCUUUUCGUAGGAGUUAAUGACGAUAGGGCUCGAUCAGAGAAUAAAAAUUGGGUUGGUGCGCUGAUCACUUUCGCGGCGAGUGUUGCUGACUUGCAGCAACGCGCGCCACUUGCCGCCGUUCGGUUGGCCUCCGCGGCGGGGGAUGAUAAUAAUGGAUAAUGCUUUAUGCGAGAUACGGCUCUGUUGGUUUUGCAUUUCUUUUUCGUUAGGGUGGUGAGUGCACCGGAGCCAAUAAACAGGUUUAGGUGGAGGACUCGUGUUUUUUUUUAAAGCUCAGCCAUACGCCCAUACGAUAAUUAUUUCAUUUGUUCUUUUAGAUGUGCCUACUAGUUCGUGCUAGUAAUCUAUAGAGCACUUCAGGACUAGAUAGCGAGAAAUCUGUUUUAAGAGAUCAACACGACACCCCUUUGCAUGCGACCUUGGGCGAGUGGCUAGCUAAGCUUGGACUGGUUCCUAAGAUUGCCACUAAAAACAUGUGUCAAAUGGUUGACUGAAUAUAUAUGUAAGGUGUCAGACUUGUCUCAAGAUAUAAUGGUGAUGAGAUCCUUUUGGGACGCACCUGAUCGAUUCUAUGAAUGGACUACAACUCUUUUGAAGUAGCAGAUCAUACUAGUGAGCAAACGCUUAAUAAUGUCACUCAUUCCCUCCGUCUCAGAAAAUACAAUCUAAGAUAGGAACUGUUAUAUAUCCUCGGACAACCAAUCAAGACAAGCACUUAAUCCAGAUUCGUUGUUCUUGAAUGCGUCACAUUCUAUUCUAAGUUAGGUUUUUUUUAUGGAGAAAGUACUUUAGAUUAUAAACAAAACGUAUAUAAUGAUUGAGACAGCUAUGUAAUAUCAUUUAUGUACACAGCCACAUCAACUAAGAACAAAUAAAAAUGGCAUGUACAAGAGACAAUAUGAUAUCUAAUGUCACUCCUCUCAACUGUUUCCUUGUACCCUAUAUUAUCUGAGAUGCCUCUUUGCAAAGAUACAUCUCCUUUCUCUUCUUUCUUUAUCCAUCGACACUUCAUUAAUUAAUUGCAAUGAGUCAUAUGGGGUGGGGGGUGGGGGGGGGAUGGAGGAACUAAGACCAAUUAAGGACUAAAAAUAUCUAGCAGUAGCUGGUCUAGAGCUGAUUACUGGUUACCAAACGAUGAAUUCAGAUUUUAAAAAUUCGACUAUUAUGGAUAACCUAUUCGAUUUUUAUAUUACUGCAAUGUUUUCCCUCCAACUCGUAAUUCAUAAAUAGUAGGGCUGGCCAGCCAGUUGGCAAUUGGGAGUCCAACUCAGAAGACAAUAUUGUGCAUAAUUCAGUUGGCAAUUGUCCGGUUAAUUUUAUUAGUAGGACAAAUUCGUUAUGCCAGUGGCACCUAGUUCGGUAACAAAUUUUGGUGUUAUUGUAGAGGUUGGAUAUAGCGUUUUCAUAUCAAACACUCAAAAGUAGUUUAGAGGUUUUCCCCUGUGUGGAUAUUAUGGGUACCCCAUACCCAUACGGCAUGGUUAUCCGACCAGUCAUAGGGGAUAACUUAUAUCUAUAGAAUAUGUAAUAGAUCAUGACUCGGGUAUUACGUUUCCUUAUAUAUUACGGAACAGCCUAAAGUCCUGGUUUGAUAAUAUUGUAAAGUAGAUUUAGGAAACCGAUACCGUAUUGGUUAAGGUUUCUAUCUUGUAAUCCUGCCCCCCACCCUAUAUAAGGUGGGCAGGAGGCCCUCUAGGGGGCAUGAGACAACCUGAUCGUCAGAUCUAUAAUACACCCGGCGGAUUCAAAUCCCCAAACAGGAGUAGGGUAUUACCUCUCAUUGAGAGGGCCCGAACCUGUCUAAAUCCUUUGUCUCCACAUCCAUCCACUUUUAGGUCUCGUGCGCUACCCCGUUUUAUUAUUGCCGAAAUCAUGUUUCGACAGUUGGCGCGCCAGGUAGGGGUUGCGUCGAGUUUCCUAUCAACGAGCGCGAUGGAAUCAAUUUCAUGAGUCGCCGACUUCGCUUUCGCUUUGGGAGUUUUCACUUCCUUUCCGUCGACCACUUCUUCAAGCUCCUCUUCUCUGACUUGAUCCAAAUCAGUCAGGGGGAAACUCAAUCUGAUUUUUAUCAUUAUUUAUCAUAUUGAUUUUUAAUCUCAGAUUAAUUUCUUGCUAUUUUUUGUUGUUGUUCGCAUAUAACUACGCGGCACUAUUGAGGCGAUUGAUGCUGGUCAUGGACUCGAGGCGUCUCAGCUUUCCGGUCGAUCGGCCGCGAGUCCACUCCGCCGGCUUGUCCUCGCCACCGCCAUUGCUGAUAGCAACAACGACUUCACCGCCGGCCUGCCUCCGUCGCCGCCGACUGGUGUCAUCGCCUAUACGGUUGGUCGGUCACACCACCGUUCAUGGGCGUCCAUGUCUUCACCGACCGGCUGGCCUUCGCCGCCGCCGACUGGUGUUUCCGCCUACACGGCUGGCCUAUUAUGCCGCCGCUGUUGGGCGUCUACGACUUCACCGCCGGCCUGCCUCCGUCGCCGCCGAUUGGUGCCUCCGCCUACACGGCUGGCCUAUUAUGCCGCCGCUGUUGGGCGUCUACGACUUCACCGCCGGCCUGCCUCCGUCGCCGCCGAGUGGUGCCUCCGCCUACACGGCUGGCCUAUUAUGCCGCCGCUGUUGGGCGUCUACGACUUCACCGCCGGCCUGCCUCCGUCGCCGCCGAUUGGUGCCUCCGCCUACACGGCUGGCCUAUUAUGCCGCCGCUGUUGGGCGUCUACGACUUCACCGCCGGCCUGCCUCCGUCGCCGCCGAGUGGUGCCUCCGCCUACACGGCUGGCCUAUUAUGCCGCCGCUGUUGGGCGUCUACGACUUCACCGCCGGCCUGCCUCCGUCGCCGCCGAUUGGUGCCUCCGCCUACACGGCUGGCCUAUUAUGCCGCCGCUGUUGGGCGUCUACGACUUCACCACCGGCCUGCCUCCGUCGCCGCCGACUGGUGUCCCCGCCUAUACGGUCGGUUGGUCACACCACCGUUGAUGGGCAUCGUCAUCUACACCGCCGGCCUGCCUCCGUCGCCGCCGACUGGUGUCCCCGCCUAUACGGUCGGUUGGUCACACCACCGUUGAUGGGCAUCGUCAUCUACACCGCCGGCCUGCCUCCGUCGCCGCCGAGUGGUGCCUCCGCCUACACGGCUGGCCUAUUAUGCCGCCGCUGUUGGGCGUCUACGACUUCACCGCCGGCCUGCCUCCGUCGCCGCCGAGUGGUGCCUCCGCCUACACGGCUGGCCUAUUAUGCCGCUGCUGUUGGGCGUCUACGACUUCACCGCCGGCCCGCCUCCGUCGCCGCCGAGUGGUGCCUCCGCCUACACGGCUGGCCUAUUAUGUCGCCGCUGUUGGGCGUCUACGACUUCACCGCCGGCCCGCCUCCGUCGCCGCCGAUUGGUGCCUCCGCCUACACGGCUGGCCUAUUAUGCCGCCGCUGUUGGGCGUCUACGACUUCACCGCCGGCCUGCCUCCGUCGCCGCCGAUUGGUGCCUCCGCCUACACGGCUGGCCUAUUAUGCCGCCGCUGUUGGGCGUCUACGACUUCACCACCGGCCUGCCUCCGUCGCCGCCGACUGGUGUCCCCGCCUAUACGGUCGGUUGGUCACACCACCGUUGAUGGGCAUCGUCAUCUACACCGCCGGCCUGCCUCCGUCGCCGCCGACUGGUGUCCCCGCCUAUACGGUCGGUUGGUCACACCACCGUUGAUGGGCAUCGUCAUCUACACCGCCGGCCUGCCUCCGUCGCCGCCGAGUGGUGCCUCCGCCUACACGGCUGACCUAUUAUGCCGCCGCUGUUGGGCGUCUACGACUUCACCGCCGGCCUGCCUCCGUCGCCGCCGAGUGGUGCCUCCGCCUACACGGCUGGCCUAUUAUGCCGCUGCUGUUGGGCGUCUACGACUUCACCGCCGGCCCGCCUCCGUCGCCGCCGAGUGGUGCCUCCGCCUACACGGCUGGCCUAUUAUGCCGCCGCUGUUGGGCGUCUACGACUUCACCGCCGGCCCGCCUCCGUCGCCGCCGAUUGGUGCCUCCGCCUACACGGCUGGCCUAUUAUGCCGCCGCUGUUGGGCGUCUACGACUUCACCGCCGGCCUGCCUCCGUCGCCGCCGAGUGGUGCCUCCGCCUACACGGCUGGCCUAUUAUGCCGCCGCUGUUGGGCGUCUACGACUUCACCGCCGGCCUGCCUCCGUCGCCGCCGAGUGGUGUCCCCGCCUAUACGGUCGGUUGGUCACACCACCGUUGAUGGGCAUCGUCAUCUUCACCGCCGGCCUGCCUCCGUCGCCGCCGAUUGGUGCCUCCGCCUACACGGCUGGCCUAUUAUGCCGCCGUUGUUGGAUGUCUACAUCCUCACCGUUGGCUCACCUUCGUUGCCGUCGACUGGUGUUUCCGCUUACACGGCUGACCUAUUAUACCGCCAUUAGUGGGCAUCUUCGCUUUCACCGUCGACCGCCUUCGUCGCCGCCGACUGGUGUCUUCAUUAUUAUUGAUGGACGACUUUGUUCCCACAUUGGCCACUUCUGCCAUCACCAAGGGGAAUAUUACAAAGCUAAGUCAUCAUUUAUUUUAUUCUUUAUAUGAUAUUUUUCCUUUUCCUCUGCCUCACUACACCAAUUGGUCUUCCAUUGAGUAGUGAGUCGGGGGCUACAGAUGUUAUAUCAUAUUUUUUAUAAUAUUUAUCUUGAUUGCUUGCGACAUAAUCUGAGUACAAAAGUACCUAUCGAGUUAUGGAGUUCUAUCUUCCUAUGCUUUCCGUUUGGUUUGCCAAUGGAUGGUUGCCUUUGGGCCGAUUCCUAACACCCGGGGGCUCGUUGGAUGGACCGAGUAACGCAAGGUGCUAAGUAUUACUCGGAAGAAAUCAAAAGCAUAGAGAUAAUAUAAUUUAUUUUCUGCUCUUAAUAAUUGCAAAAGUACCUGAGUAGUAAAUUCUGAUCCGUGAAACUUUGUUCCAUUAAUGACGAACUCAUGUCACUCAUAUGCAUGUUUGGGAAAUGCCUAGGCCGACUCCCGAUGCUUGGGGGCUAUGACUAGUCGGACAGAGUGUUUAAACGUACAGAGUCAUCUGCUCGGGGAAAUCAAAAUUGACAAGAGGAGAAAUACAUAUUUAUAAAUAUUUUAAAAUACUUGAUUUUUUCUCGAGUAUUAUAUUUAUAUCAGAUACUACUCAUCCUAUAUGUUUGUUCUGCAGGAUCCAGAUCCAGAUAUGCAUAAAAGGGAUUCAUGGCUUUAAGCUUAUCUCUUACGCUCCAGGAAUGGAUCAGUCAGAACACCACCACCGGCUCGCCUCGACCGCCGCCGACUGGUGUUUCCGCCUGCACGGCUGGCUUAUUAUGCCGCCGUUGUUGGGCGUCUACGUCUUCACCGACCGGCUUGCCUUCGCCGCCGCCGACUGGUGUUUCCGCCUGCACGGCUGGCCUUUAUGCCGCCGUUGUUGGGCGUCUACGUCUUCACCGACCGGCUUGCCUUCGCCGCCGCCGACUGGUGUUUCCGCCUGCACGGCUGGCCUUUAUGCCGCCGUUGUUGGGUGUCUACGUCUUCACCGACCGGCUUGCCUUUGCCGCCGCCGACUGGUGUUUCUGCCUGCACGGCUGGCCUUUAUGCCGCCGUUGUUGGGCGUCUACGUCUUCACCGACCGGCCGCCUCGUCCGCCGCCGACUGGUGUUUCCGCCUGCACGGCUGGCCUAUUAUGCUGCCGUUGUUGGGCGUCUACGUCUUCACCGACCGGCUUGCCUUCGCCGCCGCCGACUGGUGCUUCCGCCUGCACGGCUGGCCUUUAUGCCGCCGUUGUUGGGUGUCUACGUCUUCACCGACCGGCUUGCCUUUGCCGCCGCCGACUGGUGUUUCUGCCUGCACGGCUGGCCUUUAUGCCGCCGUUGUUGGGCGUCUACGUCUUCACCGACCGGCCGCCUCGUCCGCCGCCGACUGGUGUUUCCGCCUGCACGGCUGGCCUAUUAUGCUGCCGUUGUUGGGCGUCUACGUCUUCACCGACCGGCUUGCCUUCGCCGCCGCCGACUGGUGUUUCCGCCUGCACGGCUGGCCUUUAUGCCGCCGUUGUUGGGCGUUUACGUCUUCACCGACCGGCUUGCCUUCGCCGCCGCCGACUGGUGUUUCCGCCUGCACGGCUGACUUAUUAUGCCGCCGUUGUUGGGCGUCUACGUCUUCACCGACCGGCUGCCUCGACCGCCGCCGACUGGUGUUUCCGCCUGCACGGCUGACUUAUUAUGCCGCCGUUGUUGGGCGUCUACGUCUUCACCGACCGGCUGCCUCGACCGCCGCCGACUGGUGUUUCCGCCUGCACGGCUGACUUAUUAUGCUGCCGUUGUUGGGCGUCUACGUCUUCACCGACCGGUCGCCGCAUCCGCCGCUGACUGGUGUCACCGCCUGCACGGCUGGCCUGUUAUAACGCCAACUGAUGCUAUCUUCUUCACGGCUGGCUACAUCGCUGUCACUACUAAUAGGCAUCAGUAUCUUCAACACAAGCUGCCUACGUUUGCCAUGGCUGCCGACUGGUUUCUUCACUUCCAUGGCUGCAUGAUUCUGCCAGUGUUGAUUGGCCUUAUCUUCUUCACCGCCGGUCGUCUCGUCUGCUGCUGACUAGUGCCCUCACCUCUACGUCUGGUUUAUACAGCUACCACUACUGAUGGACAUCAUCGUCUUCCGUUGCCGACUGGUUAUGCCGCCGCCGACUAGUGCUUUUAUCUUCACAACUGCGCGUCUUCGCUACCAGUUUGCUUCUGUUGCCGCCGACUCAUGUUCACUUCAUCACGGCGAUGCAACUUUGUCAUCAUAGUGGAGCGACUUCAUCUUUAUUAUCUUCGGCACUGGCAAACUCUAUUGCUGCUACUUCGCAAGUUUUACUACUUCACCAACCACGACGUCUUUGUGAACCUCGACAUCUCGGCAUGCAAUGCCAUGAUAUUUUACUACAACAAGUGACUCUCCAAUAUUCAGGAUUUCUACUUGGACACCUUCAACACAUAUCUUCAAUCAAGCAAUGACUACUCGACGACAAGAAGCUAUAAUUCUCGACUCUAUGUUCAGUUGUUUCCCAACUAACCAAAGAGUCGGGGGCUACACAAAUAUAAGGCUCAAAAUUUGACAAAUUUUAUGUCAAGCUGAAGAAAUCAAUUAAUCAGCCAAUGAGUCAACUCCAGGAGUCAUUAUCUUCAUCUUUGCUUCGGAACAGACAUUCUACUUCAACAACUUCAAAUAUUUCGGUUUAGACGAGUUGGGCAACAACAUCAACUCUCCUCCAAUUAUUUGUCUUCACGGUUGGCCUACUACGCAACUGCCGAUAGAGGAUCUCAUCGUUAUCAUCGGCUGCUACAUCGCUAUUGACUGGAUCACCGACAUCGUCAUCUUCAUCAACAUCUUGUCAAGCCUCAUCAACAUAGCCUACUCUGCUGCCGUUGAUGGGAAACUUCGUCAUCAUAGUCGGCUAUCUCUGUUGCCGCUAAUCAUCAUUACCGUCGGAUGCGUUUGUCGCCGCCGAUUAUUUUCUUCAUCUUCAUGAUUGGUGGAUUUCGCCAUCACCGUUGAUGCGCGUCUACGUCUUCAUCGUCGGUUUGCUUUUGUCACCACCGACUGAUCUUUCGUUGUUGUUGGGCGCCUACAUCUUCACUGCUAGCUGACCUGACUGUUGCCGACUGGUUUCUUCGCUUCCAUGGUUAUGCAACUUCAUUACAUUUGAUUGGUGGCAUCUUUACUACCACUGACAUCUUCCGUUACUUCUGAUGAGCAAUUUCGUCUUCAUGUUGGUCAUUUCAUCUCCAUGCCGACUGCGUCAGCUAUUGCCAAUAGACAAUUUUGACUAUGACAGAAGGACAAGCUAUAUGCUCAGGGGCUCAUCAGCUCAAGCGUGAGGAUUAUAUCUCCAAUUUGGACUUGUUCCGGAUACAUUCCACAUGGAUUCAUAGUCAUGAGUCUAUUUUCUAUGCUCAAAGACUGGACCAAUUAUUAUUCCCCGUAAGGGCUAUCAACCGAAUACUUGCGCCAGUCGGGAUUCAAUUAUUAUAUUUAUUUUGGAGUAUCCCAUAAGGGAUAAUCAUUCAGAUCAGAAGCUAUUCAUAUGAGCUACACUUGGUCUAUAUUACCCAGAAGAUUUAUUACUCGGGAGCAUGUUACAUGCGUCAUCCUUUAAAGGGUGUCGAAGGCAUAUUUUUUGGCCUAGGCCUAAUAUGUCUGCAGCCCAUAUUUUCAGGUGUGGCCUGUCACGUUCUUUUAGGGACUUAGGCACUUUUUGCUUAGGCCAAAGUGCGCGUGAUCAAGUGCCCAAUACCUUAAAAUCCUUUUAUACCGCAGUUACUUAACUUUUUAGGAGUUGGUACAAUGCAUCUUAAAAGGUGUCAAACAGUAAAGCUUUAUAUAGCUGUCCCGCUGACUUUUUUAUAUAUAAGUCAAGGUGCUGUUUGGGUUUUUAAGCAAUUGAUUAGAUACAAUAUCAUUGCUUUUCGCCACGUAAGUGUGCAUUUUUAUUGACCAAUGUUAUGGCUUAGGCUGAUUAUAUAUUGUGGUCAUUUUCUAGGCGGUUGGUAAAUCCUUUAUGAGUUUAUUUACUCAGAUUUUACACCACAUAUGCCAUAUAUUUCCAGGUGUGGUGAAACCAUGUGUCUUCUAGGGACUUAAGCACAUCUGUUAAAGCAGUGUGCGCAUGGCGUAUGCCCAAUACUUUGGAAAUUUCUUUAUUCACAAUAUACAAGCUUCUUUAUAGCUAUUUUGCUAUAUCACUCAUCAUAUUUUACAAAGCAGUUGGUAUAUCACUCGGAUCAUGUUAUUUGGAGGAUUCACACCGCAUAUGCUAUAUAUUGAUAUCAAGUCACUUGGUUGAUUACGAUUAUCAAAACCACUCGGUUGGUUGGAUUAUUUAUUCCUUGACUAUAUGCUUGGUUUGUUCAAUUAACCACAUUGUCGGGGGCUACACCUAUUAGGUGCAUCUAGUCGGUGCACCUGACUUUAUUUUCCAGCCCUCCACAGUCUUCAGAUUUGGUAAAAGUACUCGGGAGACCAUGACAAAGAUGAUUGAAGCACUCGGCUUUGGAGUAAUCUGGUUCGAGAGAAGAUUAUCUUUUCGACUGCGAAGGUCUCAGGGGCUACUGUGGAUAUUAUGGGUACCCCAUACCCAUACGGCAUGGUUAUCCGACCAGUCAUAGGGGAUAACUUAUAUCUAUAGAAUAUGUAAUAGAUCAUGACUCGGGUAUUACGUUUCCUUAUAUAUUACGGAACAGCCUAAAGUCCUGGUUUGAUAAUAUUGUAAAGUAGAUUUAGGAAACCGAUACCGUAUUGGUUAAGGUUUCUAUCUUGUAAUCCUGCCCCCCACCCUAUAUAAGGUGGGCAGGAGGCCCUCUAGGGGGCAUGAGACAACCUGAUCGUCAGAUCUAUAAUACACCCGGCGGAUUCAAAUCCCCAAACAGGAGUAGGGUAUUACCUCUCAUUGAGAGGGCCCGAACCUGUCUAAAUCCUUUGUCUCCACAUCCAUCCACUUUUAGGUCUCGUGCGCUACCCCGUUUUAUUAUUGCCGAAAUCAUGUUUCGACACCCUGGUUCUUCUAAAUGUCCUUUUUCCCCAUUACCGCUAUGAUCCGGUGUAACUGCACAACAGUUUUAAAAUUAAACAUUUACCAAUAUUGUGUCUGAAAGAAGUGCGCGAGACUUAACAUGGAUUUGAAUCAGAUGUGAUAGUGUGACUGCAAUUUAUGCAAUCUAUGACCGCUUAUUAGAUUGGGUCCAAUGGUCAAUAUGCACCCUGGUAGUGUAGAUCACUGUGGCAAAAAUUGUUUACUUUUGUGUUGGCACUGUAGCCAAUAAUCUGGUUCAUUCAUCAACAAAAUGGAUAUAGUCGCAAUUGCGUGCCAUAGCUUAACUUGUAGGCGGCUCUAUUAAUUCAAAUUGUGCCUUAACGUAGCAUAGAGGUGGACAAAAAGCGCAAAGCUCAUGGCUUAGAUCAGCUUGUAGCGAUCUCGACUCAGAUAGGCUCGAACUCGUAAUCUUAAUGAGUCAGGCCAGGUUAGAUUUUUAACUCAUAACCUUAACGAGCUAACUCGCGAGCUCCUCGUUUAGCUUGUUAGUACAAGAUAUCACCACAUCUUUAUAUACUUAGUACUUCUUAACUAGUGCUUAGAUUUUUAAUUACAUCAAAAUUAUUCGUAUUUAGUGAGUUCUUCAUUAGUUUGUGUUUAUUAUUAUGUUAAUAUAUGAUAAAUUUGAAAUUAUCGAUAUGAUAUAAAUGAGAUAGAGCUUGUUAACGAGCCUAAUGAGCUUAACAGCUCACGACCCGAACCGAGCUAGUCUUUUAGCUCAAUGUUAAUGAGCCGAGAUGACUCGUACUAAGAUAACGAGUUUUAACGAAUUGAGCCUUAACGAGUCUAGCUGGUUCGUUAUCCAGCCCUAUUUAGUGGUGGCUAACGAGCCAACUCGGCUCGACUUGUAAAAACUCGUUAAGUUAGCGAGCUAGCUCGGGUUGACUUGUUAACAUAAUGAGUUAAAAAUGGAAAGCGACUCGACUUGUUAAAAUAACAAGUUAAAAAUGAAAGCAACUCGACUUGUUAAAAAGCCCAAGUCGACUCAUUAAACUCGUUACAUCGAAAUACAUGGUUUAAAAUUCAUAUACAUGGGGCAAAGCGAAGUUUGUCCCUCGCGUCGACCUCGCGCGGCGGCUCGGGGGCGAAACCCUAGCCGCCACCGCCCCUCCUCCUCCCUCCUCCCUGCUUCGCCGCCGCCGGAGCUCGUCGCCGGCAAAGCCGGGCGACGCGCUGGGAUGGCGGCGGCGGGGUAAUCUCCCUCGACUCCAUCUCGCCCCGGCGCGGGUGUGGCGACGAUGGCGGCGGGACGGCGAGGUCGCGGCGGCGGGACGGCGAGGUCGCGGCGAUGGCGUGGUGGUGGGGCUCCCCGCGGCGAUGGCAGCGCGGCGGUGGGGCUCUGCGCGGCUCCGUUGAGGGCGUCGCCAGAUCUGGUAGCCCCGCCAGAUCUGGCCGGGGUACGACGGCGGCGCGGCGGCGGGUCUCGGCGUGGCCGGCGACGGUCUCGGUCGACGCCGGCGCCCUCGGACGUAGCAGGUGGCCAGCAGCUUCGGCGCGGUUUCAUCGGCGACGACAGCACCGGGUCGGCGGCGGUGCUCCGGCGCCGGCUGCCGCGUGGUCCUGGCCAGGGGCUGCCGGCCUGCUGCGGCUUUUGCCGGCGACGGGGAAGGCGCCUCCAUCUCCCUCCCUCCUGGUCCUCCAGAUCCGGUUCUCCCCUUCUUCAGUGGUGUUUCUUCCGGUGCUCUCUGACGGUGCGGCGUCCGCUCCCCUCUUCUUAGGUGCUCCUCCCUUCUUAGGCUAGGCUGCUUCCAGUCGAUGCCGGGGAGUUCCGUGGUUCGGUAGGGGUGGCGUGCGGAGUUGUUUCGGCAUCCUGUUCGCUGGUCGUCGGCCGCGCCGUUGUUUCCCUGCAGCUGGGUUCCUGGGUGUGAGGUGGUCUCUGGUCGAGCUGCAGGGUUGGCUGUUGAGGUGGAGUUGGAGCUGCUUGUCUUGCAAGCUCGGCAACGAUGACCCUCAACGAACGUCCCGGCAACGCGACGAGGGUUUUGAGGUGGAGCAGUUCGAGAGAGCCUUAGGUGAAAACCUUGCCUAGUGUCGUAGGCUCUCCAGACCUUCCAUUAUAUUUGAGAGAUGAAGUGAAUAAUUCAAGUCAUCAAACAAGCAUAAUGAAACAUCCGACGCCUCGAGAGAGGAAUUUUGGAGACAUUGCUGGGCCCUUAGCCUGCCAGUCAACUUCAGCCUGAGAUGUGCCCGUCAAACCACUCAAAGGCGGCGACCAGAUGUGUUACACAUUCAGGAGACUUGACAAAAAUGGCUAAAGAUCUACAACCUCUCAAAUAUUCCUAACUCAUACUCAUGUGAAUCUAGUUCCCAGGAUGUGCACUAGAUUCACACUUUCAUCUUAAGCAUGAUUAUACAUAGCAAACACAACUAAGAUGAAAGAAACUUAAGACUUACAACAACUUAAUAAUUACAUAGGCCAACCGGCCAAAUAGACUUAUUAGAGAACAGCGGAAGCUUGACUACCCAAUCACAAGCACACCGACUAGGGGUUUACCCUAUUAAGUUCUCAUCCUAGAAGAAGCAAUCGGAACCCGCAUCACUCAAAGACUAAGACUAAACCUGCAAACAAAAGGUUAUAUCAACAGCAAGAGUCAGUACAUUAAACAAGUUAAUGUACUGGCAAGCACAAGUCAAUCCUACUAUACUACAUGUAAGGCAUAUAUUCAAAGGAAGGCAAUAUGUAGUUCAAUUUCAGCAUAUAGCAAGUUUUGUUUUGCAAUUCUUUUGUAAAGGAGGUGAUGCUUCAAUUAACAAAGACAAGUUUUAAGUUUCAUUAUUAACUUCUUCAUAAUUCCAUCAUAAACAAUCUCUUAUUGCCAUACUUAACAAUAAGUCAUAAUGUAUCACCACAUACACAACUCAACACAUUUAUCAAUUUCAAACCAAUGUCACAUGAUCACAUUUUUAAAACAUAGUCUAUACUCAUGACACAUCACCAAAGCGCUCAUGACCGUGAGCACGGCUAAUCGAUUAGUUUAAAGAACUCUGCAGAGUUUGUACAGCUUUACCCACAUGAUAUGAACUCUCUAGUUUGUUUUGAGUUUGCAAGACUCCACCACACUCUUCAUGUUGAAUGUGAUCUAGAGGUCAUAACGAAGCCUUUACACUACUUAGAGCCUAGCCUUGCACCAGCACGAUACGUGUUCCUCCAUCCUAGGCAUACUUGGAAUAUACCUGGAACCGUUAAGUGGCGGGCCCACGCCUUAAACUUAACGCCGUGGUAGCGGACACGACGGGAACCCACCACGUGGCACAAUACCGUUGUAUUGGACACGCUUAGUCACCUAAACUACCACGUCGGGGUAAAUAGGAAGCUCCUCUGAAUUAUACGAACUCAUACACACCGGCCUACCAGAAUGCAAGGCUAGUCCUAAAUAGAUUAAUCAGCUUAGGCCAUCCCAUACUAGCACAUGUGGAUGUACGAAUAACUUUAAAUGGGUGACACAAGUUCGGUCCUUAUGGACUUGGGCAAACACUCCCCCUAUCGGUAUGCAACUAACACUAUAUGCACACCACUUGCUGCCCAAGUGUAAAAUCACAUUUUACACAUUUUAGUUCGCAAAUACCCAUCAUAUUCAUUUUAUUCCAGCAAAGGUUCAAGUAUCAAAACCACAUUUUAAUUAUAGAUGGAAUGAGCAUUUGCAUAUUUCUAAGCAUGGCUAAGCAAGUAAUUGCACAUAGAGCAUAUAUAAACCCAUAUGAGCACAAAGAGUGUACUCUAACCAUUUCUAGGGUUCAAACAGCAAGAGGAUCAAUUAUUCAAGGUGGGUUAUGCAGCAAAUAGGUCAUAACUACCUUAACCCAGUUUCAAAUACCGAUAUAGUCUAAGUUCACAUGCAACUUUGCAAACAAAUAUUUUCAUUCCUCAAAUCAUGGGAUCCAAUGUGUUCAAAGGAUGGGAGGAGAAAACUUGCCUUGAUCAGAGAAUUGUUAGCACCUAAUCCACUUCUUCACCGAUUAUGCAAUUAUCUAGAUAAAGGACACGACAUGCAAUUAAACACCGAAAGAGCUGAAAAUCCAAAAUGCUCUAAAAUGCAUGAUUUAUGCACAGUGGGUUGGAAAUGAUCUAAAAUGAAUUUAGGUGAAAUAAUUCCUAUUUUAUUUUAUUCCAUUUGGGAGUUAUGAAUUUUAGAAGUUUUAUCGGUUUACAAUAGUAUAGUCUUAGGUAGUGUUAUGAAAUACUUUUGUAAAAUGAUUUUUAUUAGAUUAGACUUCACAGGGGUGUGGAGAUGUGUUUUCUAAGACUAACACAUUUGGUUUCACAAUUUUUGGAAUUAUAAUGAAUUCUUUAUGCAUUUUACAAGUUAUAACGUGUUUUAGACAUAUAGUGUUUUAUAUGUUCAUGACUUUUGAGUUAUAGGUUCAGAACAUGCUACUUCCUGUUUAAGUUGAAUAAAAGGAAUAAUUUGGUUAACUAAAACAUUUUUAUCUCACAUGUUUAUGGUCUUUACUACUAUGGUUCAUAUUUUAUAAAGUAGAGAUGCUUUAAUCUAAACUAGCAAUAUAUUAUAUUAACCUAGAAAUUGUUAUAUGAGCUAAGUUCUUCUAAUUUUAGUGGAUGGAAAUGGAACUAUGGCUUCACUGGUCAAUCAAGUUUUUAUUUAGGUUUAAUUAGACCUAAAGUGUAUAUAUAUACUUAUACAUGUUUAUGUAUUACUUAAACAACACUAUGUGUUUAAAUUCUUAUUUCACUAAGUUAAGGUUUUGAUCAAUGUUCUCUACAAAAGGUGACAAAUUUUAUUUUACUAUGUUGAAGAUAACUAUUUGCUGGUUCUAUAGAAACUUUGUUCAUUUCAUUUGGACUAAAAAUAAAUUUUCUACAAGUUUUACAAAUUAAUGGCUGCUCUAUGUUAGUAAAUCCUUAUAUGAAUAUUUAGAGACUUUUACUACACAGCAAGUAUAUAAUCUUAUUUCAUAACAUGGAAAUACAUGUUUUAGUGAUCCUACAUAACUUAAGUUUAUUCAAAUUGAAGCUAAAUUGGGUUCUACAUGAAUUUCUAAAGUUUAGCUUAUCUAAAACUAAUCAUUAUAGAGAUAAUAGUUUUAGAGGCAUUUGAUGCAAAGUAAGUAAUUACUUUUAUUUCACUUAAUCAGAGACUGUAUGAUGAUGAAUCUGUAGAAUUUGAUUUUGUUUCAAAAUGAGUUGAAAUGAAUUUUCUAUGUAUUUUAUAAGUUUGUACAUGUUUUAUGUAUAACCUAUCUUAGAUAAAUUUUAGAGACAUUAUUUGUACAGUGAGUGUCAAGUUUUAUAUUCCUGGAAUAAAGUUCAUAACUUCAAGAAUCUACAGCAACUGGAAUAACUUCAAAAUGAGCUAUAUUUGAUUUUAUAUAGAUUUUACAACUUUGUGCAUUUUUCUGCUAAACAUAUAUUUGUUUGGGCAUUUUCCUAAUUUUUCUUCAGAUUUUAAAGGAUGGGUCCACAUGGCUGUGAGGGACCAAUAUGCACAAAGGCCCUUGAGGUUUCUAGGAAUCAACCCGCAGUCCUAGGCCCAUAUGUCAGUGUGUUUCUACAAUUGUAAACAGAUCCCUGCACUUAAUCUAAUUCACGGAAGUCAUCCCUCUGCUCUAGGCAGAGCAGAGCUAGCCAUGGCUGAGCUCGAUCUGGAGCUCGCCGGCAGCAAACGGUGGCUCGUUUGAGGUUGAGGUCAAAAGAUAAAAUGAAGAGCAAGCUCUCGCGAUUCCAUUCCUCUAGUUUUCUUGGUUAGAGGACAUCGGAGUAGCGCCGAUGGCGAGUGUGAGCGGCGGUGGUUUUGGGGUGAAAGUGCAUGUGUGCAUGGAAGUCGAUUACGAAUGAAAAGGAUGCAUGCAUGUGGUCUUCUAGACUUCAGGAUGCUCACCGUGGGUCGAGCUAGGGUUGUCGAGGUCUUGGCGGCAGCGGUGACUUGUGGAACGGCUCGGCGACGGCGCUCCUCCUCGGGUGAACGACGACGGCUCGAACGGGACAAUGAGCUGCUUCAAGCAAGCAUGCACGAGGGUUGUGAGGUCAAGGAGAUGGUGUAUGUGCAAGGAAUCGAACAAUGGCUCACCGAGGCAGCGGUAAUCGACGAUGACGGCAGAGGCGAUCCUAGAUUGGCGCCGGUGAAGAAAAGGAUGUGUUCUCCGUGUUCUUGAUGUUUCCGGCUGGGGUUCUUGAGGCGUUUUGAAGAGGAGGUUGAGGUGAUGACAAUGGCGCAGCGGCUUUCUCUGAGGUGGAUGAGAAUGGCCGGACGACAACGAUGGUUGAAGCGGCGGCGCUCCGGUGCGUGCUCCAGGGCAUCGUCGGCGUGGUCGCGUUCCGGUGGCUGUGAUACACAAAACGGGAGGUGGUCAAAAGAGAAAUGGUUCGGCACUGUGUGGAGAGAAGGGAACGCGGAAAACCUGGAGAUGACCUUUACCCAAUCAGCGAUGGCGAUGGUCGUCGUCUCCACGGCCGGCGGCAAGGUUUGGGGCGAUGGAGAGGCAGAGAACCUCCUCCCUCGGUUUCUUCGGCUCUGAGUGGUGAAUGGAGAAUGGCGACGCGUCUAGGAGGAGUAGAGAGCGAGAAAAAGGAAACCGAGAUCGACGACACGUUGCGGCCACGCGUCGGCUCGCUCAAUCUCUCCCUCUCUCGGCUGGAGCAGUGGAGGAAGUGAUGGACAGAGCUGAACCUAGCCUAAGGCACUGACAAGUGGGGCCAACUCGAUGGAAACUAGGCCAGGGAGAGAGAUAUGGGUAGAAGACUGGUAAACUGGAUUUUUAGAUUAAUUUUCGGAAUUAUUUUCUCCUCUAACUUUGUAACUACAUAAUUCAAUGUGUGGACCAAAUUAAUUAGUGUUGAUUUUACUGGAGGUAAAUGAUUACACCUAGAUUCCAUUUUCUUUGGUUGCACUCAAAAAUAAUGGGUGGACUGCUCACAGAAAUUAAACAAAGAUGGGCUAUUAGAAAGCUAGAUUGAAUUUUUAGGAGGCUUAAACAGAGAAGGAAAAUUCUAGAAAAAUUACAUUUAUUCAUGAUAACUAAUCUAGUAUUUGAAUAAAUUAUUUUCCAUGUUCACUGAUGUGCAGUUAAAUGUACUUUUGGAUGAAAUAUGGUUUUAGCCGAUUAAAAUUUAAUUUGAUUUCUUUUAGUUGUCUGCUUCGACCGAUUAAUUUGAGAUAUCAACUUGAGUGUUAACACGUUACCAAAUUACGGAGGAUAAGUUUGUGCUAAUCAUUGUCCACAUAAAUUUUUCCAUGAUUUUAUCUUGCACAAAAUAUUUUAGAGAAUUAAGUUGACCUUUGUUUGUAUAUGUGUUCCCACUUCAUAAUUGCAUCUAAUAUUAUUAUAGGGAUUACAUUAAACUUCUUUUAGACUGAGAAGAUGAUAUUUGAGUUUAAUAUUAAGUCCACAUGUUAUUACCCAAGAUUAACUAUAGGUUUGUUUAGUGAAGUAAUUCUUUUAGAUUAUGCUCAUGGGAUCUAUUAUGGAAUGCAAGACCAAAACUUCAAAUGCACAAAGAACUCGAGCCUAGGCAUGCAUUAUGUACAUGUAUGCUUGGUGACAUUUCUAGUCUAAUGUUGGGAAUGAAAAUGUUUUAUUUUGUUCUCAAAUUUUAAUCAUGCAAUGGUUUAAGUUGAUCAUCACCUAAAUUAAAACGGAAAUUUUUGGCUCUCAAAAUUGGAGAAAUUAACCUCUAACUAUUUUGAUAAGAAAUUUUAAGUCCUAAAAUUUCGGGUAUGUUACACCUAGUCUAUCCUAGGUUGAUGAUAUCGACGCUUGUGGGCGCCGUUUCCUCCUUGGAGGUGUCGUCAUGUUGGUUCUCUCUUCCUUCAGGUGAAAACCGGGUUCCUUUCGGAACGGGCGUUGACAGCAUCCUUAAUGUUGUUUCCUUGUUGAAGGCUUCGCUCAGAAGGUAUUUGCUCCACUAGAGGAUGUUUGGUGGUUCUGGAGACCUUGUCAUUAUGUUGUCGAAGCUGCUUGCCUUUUGGUAAGCUCGGUAACGACGACUUCUGUGAGGUCUCAUUAGUUGUUUCUUUUCUUUUCUGUAUUGGUUUUUGCCGGUUUCCCGUUUAAUUAACCGUGCUUGUUUGGUUUUCGGGCCCGGUUUCCCUUAUUAACUGGGCCAAUUCUCUUCUUCUAUAAAUUCCGGCAGGAGAAACUCCUGCCGUCGGUUCCUCGAAAAAAAAAUUCAUAUACAUAUAUAAAUCAUGAUUUGUGAGCCUAUGACCAAAGAUUAUGAUUGUCGUGCUAUGUAUCAUGACUAACAAUACAAGGAAUAAUUACGAGUUUAUUACGACCUUUACACUGGCAAAAUGUGGACAAUUAACUUAUAUCUUAAUACAUCAUGCGCUCAACGAGCUACCUCGAGUUGUCUCAUUAAACAAAUGAGUAAAAGUUCAAACUCAACUCAACUCAUUAACUGCCAAGUCGAGUUGAGUCGAGAAGAGUUUUACACAAAUUAAAUUGGGGCAAUAGCGCUUUUGACCCUGUUCUAGAACCUACCAAUUUGACCAUACUUUUUCAACUUUGCUCAUUUGACCCUCGUUUUUAAAACUGAAGAUCAGGUCUGACCCCCUUCUGUUAAAUCAACGUAACGGUGUGCCCUUCUUAUUCACACGUUUGUGCCGCCUACCUCCUUGUUUGGAACAAACAGGAGAAGACCGCGUCGCCAUCCUCUUCGAAGCAAGAAGGAGCAUCGCCACCACACAUCGUCCUCCCCGUCCAGAUCGAGGAACAGCGCCGCCACCGUCGCCGUCCUCCCGUCACGACGCGGCGCCGCCACGGAUUUACUCCCUCCGUCGCCGCCGCCGCCGCUACCGUCUUCCACGAGCUGGCGUGACCGCUCCCUCUCUCCACGAGCUGACGCCGGCACGGAUCCGCUUCCUCCGUGUCCCUCCGCCGUCGCUGCUGCCUUCCUCCACGAGCCGGCGCGUCCGCUCAUCCGCCACUGCCGCAACUCGCCCCUCCAUGCGCCGCCGCCGCACAGGAUAUAUGAGAGAGAGAAACGGUAGUGAAUGGGUAGGUUAGAUGUGGAUUGGUUUCCUUGAGGGUAGUUUGGUCAUUACAGUAUUUUUUUCUAAAAAAAAUGGAACCUUAACAGUGCGGUGGAAACAGGGUUAGACGGGGUGUUCAUUUUUGAAAAGCGGGUUCAAAUAGCAAACUAGAAAAAAAAAAGCUAGUUUAGUAGUUAGUCUUUCAAAUGAGGUCAAAUAAGUAAUUAUCCCAAUUAAAUUAGCUUACGAGUUUCGAGAUUUUUGACCAACCCCUAUUCACACAUAUCCAUCCAGCAUCAUAGACCCGGUUAAGCCCCUCCUAUUUGGGCAGGCCUACAUCCCGAAAAGGUGCUCCAUGGAAUGCCAAAACGCACCCGUCCCGGUUCCCAUUCCCAUUCAUAGCUAUCUACCACCUUUUUCGAUCGUUACGCAAUGCUCGCGCAAUAACGAAAUCUACCGCGUGCCAUACCGCCACGCAACUAGCUAGAUGCCACUCACUCGAGGUUAGUUAGGCAUGGGCAUCACAUAGCAAACUGGCCAUCCCAUAGCUUUCCUAGCUCCCACGAGACGACCCUGCACCCUGCAUGCGGCAGCACGGCGCACACGCUCCUUUCUUGAUCGUGCGCGUGGAGCCCAGACGUGACCGGCC